UUGCUCUCGGCCGCCUCGCCCACCUCGGGGUCCUCCCAGCGCCCCAGCUCUCCGUGGGACAGCCGACUGAGGGAGGCAGGGAGGGGGGGAAAGACGCCUCCCCCCGAUCGCGGGCACAGAGAGAGCCAAACAAGACAGGUCCGGGUGGGAAAUUUACAGUCCUCCCCGAGGAAGGCGCGAGACUGUUGAUGCUCACCGCCGCAGCACUCCACAGAAUCUCCACAUUCUUCCUCCGCUUCGCAACUACAUUCUGGCCCAGGGUUUCAAGUAAUUCCUUGACGUCGGUCUGGGUUUGGAAAUGCGGUAGACCUGUUUUACACAGCAGGGGAGCGAGAAAAAAAAGGUGAGAGUGAGAUUUUCAUCUGUGGUCUAUCUGACCACACCUUGGUGAUAACGGCGAGGUCAACUUACAUUCACGUGGCACCUUUUCACUCAACGUUUUGUAAUAACACUGCAGCGUUUCAAAGUUCAUCUGGUUGAUCCUCUCCUGAAGAGAAAUGUCUCCAAAUCUGAGGACAAAGUCCAUUAUAGAAAGUCUUCAGUAUAAUUGCAGGUGGUGCUGAAAAGUCAAGUCAAAGUAUCAUUAAGUAUGAAAAAAGAGGGAGCUCAACGGGAGCCUUCAACUACACAUCUUCUCCCUACAUACCACCACCGGAGAUCCAAAAUACAAUUUGUUUUUAACAUUGUUUUAUUAUAGUAUGCAACAGAAAAGAAAGUGCAUACAUUUGACAGAAUUAAGAAAAAAAUGCAAAAUUGAGAGUGGCACUGCCACCUAAUGGAGUGGAUUUGUAAUUACGAGAGAGAGAGAGAGAGAGAGAGAGAGAGAGAGAGAGAGAGAGAGAGAGAGAGGGAGAGGGAGAAAGAAAUAUUUUCUUUUCCAGUGUCACGUGCUCCGAGGGCCCCCCCACUAUUUGAGGAUUGCUCAACAUGGCUUGAAAAAAUACAAUUUGACAUUUUGGUGUACGCAUCGUAAUUAUGUUGCAUUGGUGUCACAAUUAUGAGGAGGUCCUUGGAAGAAAAUGUCUUCCUUGUCAGAAGGAGAAAAUCAAAAAGUAUCAGAAAUUCAAAACGUUGAAAUACGCUGACCUCUCGGCAAUGGUUUGCUGCUCGUUUAUGCCCACGUUAAAAAGCACCGGAAACACGCGCAGAGGUCGGCCCUCCUUGAUUUCCUCUGGCAUGUUCUGGAAGGCGGGGCCUGGCAGCGGGACCUCCACAGUGAAGUGGUCCCUGAGCACAACCACAAUGCCAAAGUUAAGCAUCAAUCACGACAGGGGACAAUUGUGAUUUGACAAAGACUUCAGCACAUUGAGGGAAGCAGUUUUUGAAUAAAUGUCCGCCGUAGUGAUUGAUGUGCAACUUGGACAUCAAUAUUAAUGCAUACUGCAUGCAAGGAAGCAACUUUUGACUAAACGUCCACUGUAUUGACUGAAAUGCCACGUCGGCGUCGAAACUCAUGCACUGUGAUGAAAAUAGCUUUUGAAAUUGACACCGGAGUGACGGUUGCGCCAACGUCUCACCGUCUGCCUCGCACCACAGGCUGAAGGUCACUGAGGUGGUCCGUCCUGGCCUGGGUCACCUUGAACACGACCCUCCGGAGGUCUGCCACCCCCACCUCCAUGUCCUCCAGCAUGCCGAUCUCUUCGCCUUGGGACGGUGCUGAGCAGGCUUUCAAACUGGGCCACCAGGCCGACCAGGUGGAGCUGCCUCAGGAAACCUUUGUCCUGCAUUCCUGCGUACACGCGCAUGACGAAACCACACGCCAACACUGCCAGCUGCCUGACUGAAGACGACGUCCCUCCUCUGCUGAAGUAGGAAACCCUGCGGGAUGCUGCAGGCGGCCUCCUGCAGAAGCACAAAGGUGACGGCUCUCUUGGCCUUGUCCACCACCUGUGUCACGCACUCCUUUAACCUGGCCACUAGGGGGCACAGCUGCUCCCGCCAGUCACUUGCUGCGUCAACAUUGGGAAAACAAAGAAGAACUCAAAUGACGUUGGUGUUACGUCACGUCUCACGCGCUGACCCAAUGGCAAGCAAGGCAUCGCCUCCUGUUUUCGAGGACAUCUGACGUCUCAAGGGUGACUUUUUUUUUAUACCGCAUCAUUUAACACAUUGUGAAAUUGUCUUUGUGGAAAGGACGCGGGGCGCCUGUGAAAACUUUGUAAAACCAGACAAUGAAAUGGCAUCAGCAGUCUGCACUGAUAAGCGAGGUGUCCAUUGUAUAUUCCUUAAAAUUAAUUUUUUUUUCCCUUCACAACCAAGGUUAUUAUAUAACUAAAAAAUGUUUUUUUGAGGAAAACAUUUUUGUUGUGGAAACAACAAUGAAAAUGCCUAAAAAAGUAAAUAAAACUACUGUUUCACAAU
Hippocampus zosterae (dwarf seahorse) is the source of this 2361-nucleotide long non-coding RNA. RefSeq lists it as uncharacterized. The record is from RefSeq and is a predicted model, not a curated record. Lineage: Eukaryota; Metazoa; Chordata; Actinopteri; Syngnathiformes; Syngnathidae. The transcript is spliced from 4 exons.